GACGAACGCUGGCGGCGUGCUUAACACAUGCAAGUCGAACGGAAAGGCCCUGCUUUUGUGGGGUGCCCGAGUGGCGAACGGGUGAGUAACACGUGAGUAACCUGCCCUUGACUUUGGGAUAAGUUAAGGAAACUGGGGCUAAUACCGGAUAGGAGCUCAUGCUGCAUGGUGGGGGUUGGAAAGUUUCGGCGGUUGGGGAUGGACUCGCGGCUUAUCAGCUUGUUGGUGGGGUAGUGGCUUACCAAGGCUUUGACGGGUAGCCGGCCUGAGAGGGUGACCGGCCACAUUAGGACUGAGAUACGGCCCAGUCUCCUACGGGAGGCAGCAGUGGGGAAUAUUGUACAAUGGGCGGAAGCCUGAUGCGGCGACGCCGCGUGCGUGAUGACGGCCUUCGGGUUGUAAACCGCUUUCGCCUGUGACGAAGCGUGAGUGACGGUAAUGGGUAAAGAAGCACCGGCUAACUACGUG
Molecule: ribosomal RNA, 468 nt
Filed under: uncultured bacterium
Lineage: Bacteria
Description: partial 16S ribosomal RNA
Rfam family: Bacterial small subunit ribosomal RNA
Source: RNAcentral